RNAcentral lists this ribosomal RNA (506 nucleotides) under uncultured Glomus. RNAcentral describes it as "SSU rRNA". It matches the Rfam family "Eukaryotic small subunit ribosomal RNA", at positions 569 to 1077 of the family's 1831-position model. The record is from RNAcentral. Lineage: Eukaryota; Fungi; Glomeromycota; Glomeromycetes; Glomerales; Glomeraceae.
AGCAGCCGCGGUAAUUCCAGCUCCAAUAGCGUAUAUUAAAGUUGUUGCAGUUAAAAAGCUCGUAGUUGAAUUUCGGGAUCAGUACGCUGGUCAUGCCUUUGGUAUGCACUGGUGUCACUGGUUUCUCCCUUCUGAAGAUCCGUGAUGUCAUUAAUUUGGUGUCGCGGGGAAUCAGGACUGUUACUUUGAAAAAUUAGAGUGUUUAAAGCAGGCUCACGCUUGAAUACAUUAGCAUGGAAUAAUGAAAUAGGACGUUUGACCCUAUUUUGUUGGUUUCUAGGAUCGACGUAAUGAUUAAUAGGGAUAGUUGGGGGCAUUAGUAUUCAAUUGUCAGAGGUGAAAUUCUUGGAUUUAUUGAAGACUAACUACUGCGAAAGCAUUUGCCAAGGAUGUUUUCAUUAAUCAAGAACGAAAGUUAGGGGAUCGAAGACGAUCAGAUACCGUCGUAGUCUUAACCAUAAACUAUGCCGACUAGGGAUCGGAUGAUGUUAAUUUUAUAAUGACUC